RNAcentral lists this ribosomal RNA (512 nucleotides) under uncultured bacterium. RNAcentral's name for it is "partial 16S ribosomal RNA". It matches the Rfam family "Bacterial small subunit ribosomal RNA", at positions 28 to 507 of the family's 1533-position model. The record is from RNAcentral.
GACGAACGCUGGCGGCGUGCCUAAUACAUGCAAGUCGAGCGAGCGGAACUAACAGAUUUACUUCGGUAAUGACGUUAGGAAAGCGAGCGGCGGAUGGGUGAGUAACACGUGGGGAACCUGCCCCAUAGUCUGGGAUACCACUUGGAAACAGGUGCUAAUACCGGAUAAGAAAGCAGAUCGCAUGAUCAGCUUUUAAAAGGCGGCGUAAGCUGUCGCUAUGGGAUGGCCCCGCGGUGCAUUAGCUAGUUGGUAAGGUAAAGGCUUACCAAGGCGAUGAUGCAUAGCCGAGUUGAGAGACUGAUCGGCCACAUUGGGACUGAGACACGGCCCAAACUCCUACGGGAGGCAGCAGUAGGGAAUCUUCCACAAUGGACGCAAGUCUGAUGGAGCAACGCCGCGUGAGUGAAGAAGGUUUUCGGAUCGUAAAGCUCUGUUGUCGGUGAAGAAGGAUAGAGGUAGUAACUGGCCUUUAUUUGACGGUAAUCAACCAGAAAGUCACGGCUAACUACGUG